AUGUUUGCCCUUGCUGUUCUACUCCAUGAGCAACAGAACUCACCAGGAACUACCUUUCUUUUUCACAGCUCUCUUCAGUGCCUACCUGGGAGCAGCAGUGACCCACAUGUUGUCUGUGUUUGGGGUGCCAUCAGGAACCUGGCCCUUUUGCUUGUCUGCGCUGACAUUCCUGCUAAUGACCACAAACCACUCUGCAAUCCAAAAGCUGCCACUCUCCAAAGUCACCUACCCAGAAGCCAACCGAGCUUAUUAUCUGAUGAUGAAGAAACAUGAGAGGUCUUGCUGUGAGGCAUAGAGACACAAGAAUAGAGAUACUCAGCAGAUUUUAAGGCAAGAGCACGAGGUAUUUCCCCAACAGACUGUGAUUUGUGUGCUACAAAGUCCAACACCACCUUCUGCGUGGAGAGACUUUUUCCACCGCAUCUGUUUGUUCUAUUAAGAAGAUUUCUAUUAGGUAGGACUGUGCUUUGCUGGAAAGAUCUUUCCCAAGAUCAAUCUGUAGUGAUUUUAAAGCACACAUGUCUGAAAAGACACUUGAAUUAUAAGCAGCAGGAAAAAUGACUUAUAAGCGGAAAAGAAAAAUCUCUGUGAAAUUGAAGACACAGCAAUCAGACGUAAAGAAAUAAAGAGCAUCUUUCAGCAUCUGAGGGGACUUCAAAUUAAUGGCUAAAACUAGCUUAUGACAGCAAAGCAUCUUAGAGAGUUUCACUGUAGCAGAGAAAUGGAAUAAAGAGCACCCUUUGCCAAGUAAAAAAUAGAUUGUGAAGGAUUCUACCUGGAGGGCCUCUGAAACCCCGUGGAGAGAGAUGUUCAUUAGCAAUCAUCAAACAUAAGACGGACAUGAUUUUUGUGAUUUUUGUCUUAAUCUCAUGAUUUCUCUUAAUACUUGAACUUGGUGAUGGGUUAGCAAAGGAGGGGACAGCAAGAGAGUCAUUGCUGCCCCUUUUCUAUGCAAUAAAAUGGGUCUGUUCAGUCAAUGCACAGAUAGAACUAAUUUGAGCUGUUCUUAACCUUUCUCCCUACACUGCCUCCCUCAGCCCACGAAUAUCAAACAGCAAAAUGCUGUACUGUCCCAGCCUGCUGUUAAAGCUCAGGAGGCUCAGGGGGGACCCUGUGGCUCUGCACAACUCCCUGACAGGAGGGGGCAGCCGGGGGGGCUCAGACUCUGCUCCCAGAGAACAGGGACAGGAUGAGAGGAAACAGCCUCAAGUUGUGCCAGGGGAGGUUUAAAUUGGAUAUUACGGAUAAUAUCUUCAUAGGAAUUGUUAUCAAGCCUAGAAACAGGCUGUUUGGGGCAGCACUGGAGUCCACCUCCCUGGAGGGUUUUAAAGGCCUUGAGAUUGUGGCACUUGGGGACAUGAGUUAGUGGUGGCCUUGGCAUCAAUUCUGUGAUUCUGUGAAGCUGCUGCUCUGCCAUUUCUCUCUGCCUCACAGUGGGAAGGGGAUGUUUGAGGACCACUCCAGCAGAGCUCUGCAGGACACCAGCCAUGUGCCGCCUCUGUCCAGGCUCCCAGGGUACGCAGGUAGGGAAGGGGGAAGCUGGCCUUGCACCCAGCAGUGCUGAUCACCUCAACAGGCAUUAACUGUGCCACCUUUCUGCCUGGCUCACUGACAUACUCUGUCUCAUGUUGAAGCUGAUACCUUCACCAAAAAUAUUGCAUAUGCUCAGGUCGUUCAGCUGACAGGAGCCUACACGCAGUGACAUCACUCCAGGAAAAGCAAAUCGAAACCUGUUUUUCUUGUAGCAGGUGAAAUAAAAUCUAACAUUAUUUUUGAGUUUGGGAAGGGAAAAAAGCCCCCAAACCAUGUAUUUUUGCAUACAUCACAAAGUUCUGAGUGUAAAAUAUUUGUGAUGAACUGUUGGCAGUAUCUUCUGGUGAAGUUUUAGGUUUUCAGAUGUUCAACAGUAUUUCUGUAUGACUGACACUCACUUGUAAAAUGUAGCAUUUCCAUGAUUUACUUAAUAAAUAUCUACAUAAUAUUCUGUGGGGUUAAUUUCUCAAACAAACAUUCAUACUUUUUUGAGUUCGGUAUAAGUUCCUCUCUAUUUGUUAUCAUUAAGUUCUCCCAAAGAUAGGUUACCUCUUAGACAAGUAGUGUAGAAGACAUAGGAAAACAAAAUUUUUAAAUCAGUGUGUGUGGGAUGCAUAGGAAACUUUUAAGUUCUGCUCUUUGUGCUUAUCACAGAAUCAUAGAAUAACAAAAUUAUUUGGGUUGAAAGGGUCCUUGUUACACCUCCCUGCCAUGGGCAGGGACACCUCCCGCUAUCCCACAUUGCUCCAAGCCCUGUCCAACCUGGCCUUGGACACUUCCAGGGAUCCAGGGGCAGCCACAGCUGCUCUGGGAAACCUGUGCCAGGGCCUCACCACUCUCACAGGGAAGAAUUCCUUCCUAACACCCCAUCUAACCCUGCCCUCUGUUGGUGUAAAGCCAUUCCCCCUGUCCUGCCAUUUGAGGCUUAGCCAAAAUCCUCUUCCAGCUCUCUUGGAGCCCAUUUAGGCACUGGCAGGGGCUCUAAGGUCUCCUCAGAGCCUUCUCUUCUCCAGGAUGAACACCUCCAGCUCUCUCGGUCUUUUGGCAUUUUGCUGCAUCAAACCUUCUUAAACAAGGUGCAAGUUCUGCACAGGAGGCAGGAUCAGCCCAAGGCAUAGCACUGGGCCAACAGAGCUGUAAGCAGAGCUACAAAAUCCUCCUCCAGACCAGGCAGUGAUUCAUUCCUAGGGAGAUGCUGGACAGGCCCCCAGACUGGGGUUAGAUGAGGUCGUGUUCUAUCUAGAACAUACCUGGAGCAGGACCAGAGGGCCAUAGAGAUGCCCUGGGGUCUGGAGUCCCUCUGCUCUGGAGCCAGGCUGGGAGAGCCUGCACAAGAGAAGGCUUUGGGCAGAUCUUAUUGUGGCUUCUCAGUACUUAAAGAUCUCUUUAAGAAAGAUGUGGACAAACUUUUUAUCAGGGCCUGUUGCGAUGGGAAAAGGGGCAAUGGUUUUAAACUAAAAGAGGAUCAAUUCUGACCAGAUAAAAAGAAGAAACUUUUUAUGGGUAGGGUGGUGAGGCACUGGCACAGGUUUCCCAGAGAUAUGAUGGAUGCUCCAUCCCUGGAAAAAGUCAGGGUCCAGUUGGACAGGUCUCUGAGCCACUUGGUGUAGUGGAAGAUGUCCCUGCUCAUUGUAGGGUGUUGGACUGAUGACCUUUAGGUGUCCAGCACAACCCAAACCAUUCUCUGUUUCUAUGCUUUACCAAAACAUAAUGUAAAAGGGUAUUUUAAUGUCUGAACUGAGAUCUCCCACCCAGGACCAUGCCCGGAGAGGCAAAUCUACAAAGGCCGCUUUCACUCAUGUCAAAAUGUGCACCCGAAUAAGAGAACAUAAUUUAUGUCCAGUGUAAAUCAGCAGAUUUCCUCUGACUGGUGGUAUUCCAGCCUGCUGUUGCUGAGCAACAGGGACAUUUUGGCAGUACCAUAAAGAAAUCAUAUGCACAGAACUGAAAAACAACCAAAGAUUAAGGCCAUGUCCCAGCCAUUUAGAAAGAUUUUGCACAUCGUUCAGAAUUAAUUCUACAUUUUACACUAUCUGGAGAAUUUAUUCUUCCCAUGUUAACAGCUAUUUGGAGAUUUGACAUGUAAGUCAGUCAGAACACGCAUAUUAUGCUUUUUCCCAUUAUCGUUCAAAACACUGUCUUUGCUAACAGAACUAAUUUAUCUCAUUACUGAAACCUUUCUCUUUUUUUUUUUUUUUGUCUUUACAUCAAAU
Molecule: long non-coding RNA, 3746 nt
Organism: Corvus moneduloides (New Caledonian crow)
Lineage: Eukaryota; Metazoa; Chordata; Aves; Passeriformes; Corvidae
Source: Ensembl